CUUUCAUUAACCUCCUCUGUGCUUCACACGCUUGCAAACUCUUGGAGGAACAAACCAGUGAGAUCCCUGCUCACCUUGUCUCACCACAGAAGAAAGAACACGUGGCACCUCAGAACACCUUAGGAGGCACUCACCUUUGCCUCUGUUUGCUCUCAGCUCACAGCCGUUGCCUCACUCCACACCACCGUCCACAACCUCCCUGCCUCCCCUGCUGUCUGCCUACAGCCUGGGGAAAAGGAAAGCAAAACAUCCAAU
This 255-nucleotide long non-coding RNA is filed under the name Gallus gallus (chicken). Lineage: Eukaryota; Metazoa; Chordata; Aves; Galliformes; Phasianidae. The record is from RNAcentral.